RNAcentral lists this ribosomal RNA (274 nucleotides) under uncultured bacterium. Its description in RNAcentral is "partial 16S ribosomal RNA". It matches the Rfam family "Bacterial small subunit ribosomal RNA", at positions 523 to 796 of the family's 1533-position model. The record is from RNAcentral.
AUACGGAGGGUGCGAGCGUUAAUCGGAAUUACUGGGCGUCAAGCGUGCGUAGGCGGUUUGCUAAGUCAGAUGUGAAAGCCCCGGGCUUAACCUGGGAACUGCAUUUGAUACUGGCAGACUAGAGUAUGAUAGAGGGGGGUAGAAUUCCUGGUGUAGCGGUGAAAUGCGUAGAUAUCAGGAGGAAUACCAGUGGCGAAGGCGGCCCCCUGGAUCAAUACUGACGCUGAGGUACGAAAGCGUGGGGAGCGAACAGGAUUAGAAACCCCAGUAGUCC